RNAcentral lists this ribosomal RNA (253 nucleotides) under uncultured bacterium. RNAcentral's name for it is "partial 16S ribosomal RNA". It matches the Rfam family "Bacterial small subunit ribosomal RNA", at positions 524 to 776 of the family's 1533-position model. The record is from RNAcentral.
UACGAAGGGGGCUAGCGUUGUUCGGAAUUACUGGGCGUAAAGCGCAUGUAGGCGGCUAUUCAAGUCGGGGGUGAAAUCCUGAGGCUCAACCUCAGAACUGCCUUCGAUACUGUGUGGCUAGAGUAUGGAAGAGGUAGGUGGAACUGCGAGUGUAGAGGUGAAAUUCGUAGAUAUUCGCAAGAACACCAGUGGCGAAGGCGGCCUACUGGUCCAUCACUGACGCUGAGAUGCGAAAGCGUGGGGGGCAAACAGG